GAUGAACGCUGGCGGCGUGCUUAACACAUGCAAGUCGAACGGAAAGGCUCCUGCUUGCAGGGGUACUCGAGUGGCGAACGGGUGAGUAACACGUGGGUGAUCUGCCCUGCACUUCGGGAUAAGCCUGGGAAACUGGGUCUAAUACCGGAUAGGACGAUGUUUUGGAUGCCACUGUGGAAAGUUUUUUCGGUGUGGGAUGAGCUCGCGGCCUAUCAGCUUGUUGGUGGGGUAAUGGCCUACCAAGGCGUCGACGGGUAGCCGGCCUGAGAGGGUGUACGGCCACAUUGGGACUGAGAUACGGCCCAGACUCCUACGGGAGGCAGCAGUGGGGAAUAUUGCACAAUGGGCGCAAGCCUGAUGCAGCGACGCCGCGUGGGGGAUGACGGCCUUCGGGUUGUAAACUCCUUUCGCUAGGGACGAAGCGCAAGUGACGGUACCUGGAGAAGAAGCACCGGCUAACUACGUG
RNAcentral lists this ribosomal RNA (466 nucleotides) under uncultured bacterium. Its description in RNAcentral is "partial 16S ribosomal RNA". It matches the Rfam family "Bacterial small subunit ribosomal RNA", at positions 28 to 507 of the family's 1533-position model. The record is from RNAcentral.